UGGAGAGAGAGUCAAACAGUACGUGAAACCGUUGGGAGGGAAACGAACGAGGUUGGUGCAGUGAUUGCGCAGGCUCAGGUUCCGCCGAAGGUGCCGUCAGGGUGACCCACGUGUCCCCGGGCGUCCGCCGGAGGCAGAGCCGUACUCCUCGCGAUCACGGACCAGUGGCGGUUGGAGUGGGGCCAUAAGGCUGCCGGGACGGUAUGUCGAGUCGGGUUCGCCCGCUGGACAACCUAUAGACCGGCUUCUCGGUGCUCCACUCCGACCGAGGAAGGAGGGCAGCUCUUGCCCGGUGUGGUGCACGCCGUAUGGCGGGGCCUCCCGUCGAGGGCGAGCCGUGCAGGGUUGACUGCGUGCAGUGCUCACUGUCACGGCAGACCCGCGGUCGGAGAGCGUCACUUGUGCACCAGUGCUGCUGGUAUUCGGACGGCCUCGUCCGACCCGUCUG
This 448-nucleotide ribosomal RNA is filed under the name Dysidea cf. fragilis GW30165. RNAcentral describes it as "partial 28S ribosomal RNA". RNAcentral also lists the same sequence under 1 other name. The record is from RNAcentral. Lineage: Eukaryota; Metazoa; Porifera; Demospongiae; Dictyoceratida; Dysideidae.